Molecule: transfer RNA, 72 nt
Organism: Edhazardia aedis
Lineage: Eukaryota; Fungi; Microsporidia; Culicosporidae
Rfam family: tRNA
About the family: Transfer RNA (tRNA) molecules are approximately 80 nucleotides in length. Their secondary structure includes four short double-helical elements and three loops (D, anti-codon, and T loops).
Source: Rfam
GUCCACGUAGCUCAGUGGUAGAGCGUCAGUCUCCUAAAUUGAAGGUCGAGGGUUCGAUACCCUUCGUGGACG